RNAcentral lists this ribosomal RNA (541 nucleotides) under Dehalococcoidia bacterium. Its description in RNAcentral is "bacterial LSU rRNA". It matches the Rfam family "Bacterial large subunit ribosomal RNA", at positions 1 to 506 of the family's 2925-position model. Lineage: Bacteria; Bacillati; Chloroflexota; Dehalococcoidia. The record is from RNAcentral.
AGUCAAGUUAUUAAGGGCUCACGGUGAAUGCCUUGGGAUCAAGGACCGAAGAAGGGCGCGGUAAGGCUGCGAUAUGCCUCGAUUAGCUGUCUAACGAGCUUAGUCGAGGAUUCCCGAAUGGGGAAACCCGUUCCGGUGUUGAGCCGGUUCAUCUGCAUUUGUGCAGAGGGUAAGUGGGGGAACUGAAACAUCUAAGUACCCUGAGGAAUAGAAAUCAACCGAGAUUCCCCUAGUAGUGGCGAACGAACGGGGAAUAGGCCAAACCAUUAUGACUUAGUGGCGUAAGGGCCUAUGUCAUAGUGGUGUCAUAGGAGGCACCUGGAGUUACCUUGCUAAACUCCAAGAAGUUACAAAAUAUACAUUUAGUCGAAGGACCCUGGGAAGGGCCGUCAUAGAAGGUGAGAACCCUGUAGACGAAAAGUGUAUAUCUUCUGGUGCAUUUCCUAAGUACCACGGGACACGAGAAAUCUUGUGGGAAGUCGGGGGGACCACCCUCCAAGCCUAAAUAUCCUUGAUCACCGAUAGCGAACAAGUACCGUGA